This 82-nucleotide small RNA is filed under the name Escherichia coli. RNAcentral's name for it is "isrK". Lineage: Bacteria; Pseudomonadati; Pseudomonadota; Gammaproteobacteria; Enterobacterales; Enterobacteriaceae. The record is from RNAcentral.
GUCGUAGCAAAUUCUGCGACCGGGUUUAGCAGCCUGAAUGAUUGUGCGGACAGCCGCAGAUAUCCUAUAUUGCGGUAUUUUU